CUGCUUUGCUGACGAGUGGCGGACGGGUGAGUAAUGUCUGGGAAACUGCCUGAUGGAGGGGGAUAACUACUGGAAACGGUGGCUAAUACCGCAUAACGUCGCAAGACCAAAGAGGGGGACCUUCGGGCCUCUUGCCAUCAGAUGUGCCCAGAUGGGAUUAGCUUGUUGGUGAGGUAACGGCUCACCAAGGCGACGAUCCCUAGCUGGUCUGAGAGGAUGACCAGCCACACUGGAACUGAGACACGGUCCAGACUCCUACGGGAGGCAGCAGUGGGGAAUAUUGCACAAUGGGCGCAAGCCUGAUGCAGCCAUGCCGCGUGUAUGAAGAAGGCCUUCGGGUUGUAAAGUACUU
This 352-nucleotide ribosomal RNA is filed under the name Salmonella enterica subsp. enterica serovar Derby. RNAcentral's name for it is "bacterial SSU rRNA". It matches the Rfam family "Bacterial small subunit ribosomal RNA", at positions 80 to 435 of the family's 1533-position model. The record is from RNAcentral. Lineage: Bacteria; Pseudomonadati; Pseudomonadota; Gammaproteobacteria; Enterobacterales; Enterobacteriaceae.